GAUGAACGCUGGCGGCGUGCCUAAUACAUGCAAGUCGAGCGAACGGACGAGAAGCUUACUUCUCUGAUGUUAGCGGCGGACGGGUGAGUAACACGUGGAUAACCUACCUAUAAGACUGGGAUAACUUCGGGAAACCGGAGCUAAUACCGGAUAAUAUUUUGAACCGCAUGGUUCAAAAGUGAAAGACGGUCUUGCUGUCACUUAUAGAUGGAUCCGCGCUGCAUUAGCUAGUUGGUAAGGUAACGGCUUACCAAGGCAACGAUGCAUAGCCGACCUGAGAGGGUGAUCGGCCACACUGGAACUGAGGCACGGUCCAGACUCCUACGGGAGGCAGCAGUAGGGAAUCUUCCGCAAUGGGCGAAAGCCUGACGGAGCAACGCCGCGUGAGUGAUGAAGGUCUUCGGAUCGUAAAACUCUGUUAUUAGGGAAGAACAUAUGUGUAAGUAACUGUGCACAUCUUGACGGUACCUAAUCAGAAAGCCACGGCUAACUACGUG
RNAcentral lists this ribosomal RNA (497 nucleotides) under uncultured bacterium. Its description in RNAcentral is "partial 16S ribosomal RNA". It matches the Rfam family "Bacterial small subunit ribosomal RNA", at positions 28 to 507 of the family's 1533-position model. The record is from RNAcentral.